UCCGUAGGUGAACCUGCGGAAGGAUCAUUAAUGAAUUCACUAUGGGGUUGUUGCUGGCCUCUAGGGGCAUGUGCACGCUUCACUAGUCUUUCAACCACCUGUGAACUUUUGAUAGAUCUGUGAAGUCGUCCUUCAAGUCGUCAGACUUGGUUUGCUGGGAUUUAAACGUCUCGGUGUGACAACGCAGUCUAUUUACUUAACACACCCCAAAUGUAUGUCUACGAAUGUCAUUUAAUGGGCCUUGUGCCUAUAAACCAUAAUACAACUUUCAACAACGGAUCUCUUGGCUCUCGCAUCGAUGAAGGACGCAGCGAAAUGCGAUAAGUAAUGUGAAUUGCAGAAUUCAGUGAAUCAUCGAAUCCUUGAACGCAGCUUGCGCUCUCUGGUAUUCCGGAGAGCAUGCCUGUUUCAGUGUCAUGAAAUCUCAACCACUAGGGUUUCCUAAUGGAUUGGAUUUGGGCGUCUGCGAUCUCUGAUCGCUCGCCUUAAAAGAGUUAGCAAGUUUGACAUUAAUGUCUGGUGUAAUAAGUUUCACUGGGUCCAUUGUGUUGAAGCGUGCUUCUAAUCGUCCGCAAGGACAAUUACUUUGGCUCUGGCCUGAAAUCAGGUAGGACUACCCGCUGAACUUAAGCAUAUCAAUAAGCGGAGGA
Molecule: ribosomal RNA, 650 nt
Filed under: uncultured Basidiomycota
Lineage: Eukaryota; Fungi; Basidiomycota
Description: partial 18S ribosomal RNA
Rfam family: 5.8S ribosomal RNA (bases 264-417)
Source: RNAcentral